RNAcentral lists this small RNA (8282 nucleotides) under Pyricularia oryzae. Its description in RNAcentral is "Magnaporthe oryzae sRNA M_BR32_EuGene_00087181". The record is from RNAcentral. Lineage: Eukaryota; Fungi; Ascomycota; Sordariomycetes; Magnaporthales; Pyriculariaceae.
UAUUGCAUUAAAUAAUCAGUAGAAUCUUGGUAUCACAUGACGACAGGAGCUUAAUCAGCGCUAGGAACACCAUAAAAACGCUGUUAUGCUCGUUAGGCUAAAUAGCACCACCUACAAUAAUAUAUGGCUUUCCUACCCAAUUAAUCUACCUGCACGUAAACGUUGGUAUGCGUUAAUUAUAAACCCGGUAAAGUAAUAAACUAUUGCAAUUUUUAUUUUACGCAAAUUACGUUAUAAAAUUAUAUCCAUAACGUCCAUAACUAUUUAUUUCUUUUUUCAAAAUAAAAACUAUUUUUAAAAAUAACCCCUAUUUUCCCAAAAUCCAUUUAAUUUACCAUAUUUUAUAACGAAAAACUCCAAAAACCAAUUACCGUUUUAAAUUUCCGAGCAGGGUGGCCAAAAUGGUAUAAAAUUUACCGCCAAAAUACCAAAAUUUUACGCGUUUGGAAAUUGGUAAAUCCCGACCAACAAAUUUACAAAAAACUCGUAACGUUCGAUAAAUUUACAAAAUUAAUUACCGAAACGUUUAAAUAUAUAAAAUUCGCAAUAUACGAAAUACGAUUUAGAAUUUAAAACUCCAAUAAUAUAUAAAAAAAAGCAAAAAUCCGAAAUUACGUAAAAACGUUUUAAAAAAAGACGUUUUGUUUUUAAAAUGUUGGAAAAACCUAUUAUAUUAACAAAUUUUAUUUUUUCCGAGUUUAAAAACGUAAUAAACAAAACGCGUAAAUAAUAGGAAACUUUCGACAAUUAUAUAAAUAAAUAAUUUAAAAAAAUUAAUUUAUUGCAUUAAUAAAUUAUUAAAAAUAUAAAUCCCACGUAUUUUAACAUCGUUUUAUUUACCGCGCACCGCAACGGCUGGAACACGUUUUAAAAAAUUAUUAAAACGUUUAAAAAAAAUUCCCGUUAUUAAAAUUUUACGCCAAAAAACAAAUUAUUAAAAAUUACCGCGUCAUUUUAAUAUUAACGCGUAUUAUAAAUAAUAAAAUUAAUUGGUUUGAAAUUUAUAACGCGGCGUACAAAAAAAGGCGCAAUUACCAAAUAAUUAAUUUCGAAAAAAAUUUAAUUAUUAGGAAAUUUGCAAAAACCGGAAAACAUUUCCAACCUUUUUGGGUUAUAAAUUUACGGAACGAGUUUAACAAAUUAAAUUAUACAAUUAUUUUGGAUUACGCGUUUAAUUAAUUUAAAAAUAUUUUUAAUAAUUAUAUUAUUAACCUUUUAAUCGGCGGAGGGCGCAAUUUCGCUAAAUUUUUUAUAACGUUUGGAAAAUUUAUUAAAAAAUAUAUCCAAAACGCGAUUUGUAAAUAUAAUAAUAAUUAAAAUAAAAAGCGAAUUAAUUACAAAUAUUUUUAUAACGUUAAUUACCAUUUUUGGCCGGUUUACCAAUAUUUCGCAUUUAUAUACGUUUUAACCAAUUGGAACCCCGGGUUAUAAUUCCACAAAAUCUUUUCGCAAACAAAAUGCAAAUAUUUCCGUAAAAAAUUUAAAAAAGAACGUUGGACCGAAUUAAAAAUUAAAUUUGCAAAAAAGAUAUAAUCCCGAAAUUAUAAAAUAUUACGAGCGGAAAUAGGCAAAAUAUUUUACAAUUAAAUAAACCAUUUAUUACGAUUUUUGCGGUAUAUUUGGCGAUUUACCACGAACCCGGCGACGAUACGCCAGGUUUUUACGCAUUUAAUGACCACGGAAAAAACGUUUUUACCUUUAUAAAUAUUUCUAAAAAUAUAUAUUAUAAUAAUACGUUAUUUAACAAUUAUUAUUUAAUUUAUUUAAUAAACGAUUUUAAACGGUUUAAUUCCGGUUCAUUGCGUAAAUUUUACGGUAAAAAACCGCGUUUUGUAAAAUGCGGCACCCAAUUUGUUAAAAUUAAUACCUACGGUACACGUAUUAUAAAAAAAAUCCUAAUAGGAAAUUAUGUAUUGGAAUUUAAUAAUGUAGCGUACGUUAAAAACUUUUACGUAAAUAUUGUAUUAAAAACGCGUUUGAAAAAAAAACGUAUAAUAUAAUGGUUUGGAUUGCAUUAUCCGUAUAGGAAAUAUGGAAAAUAAUAUUUUAUUAUGCGAAUUGGAACGUUAAAAUAACGUAAUUCUUUUAUAAUAUAAAUUACCUGUUAAUUAUUUGCGCGUCCCAUUCACGCUAUUUAUAGACUUUACAGGAAUAAUUACGUUAAAAACGAUUAUAAAAUGGAUAAAAACAUUCCGCAUACAAAAAAGAAAUUUAAUAAAAAUAUACGACGAAAAAAAAAAUAGUUCGUUAAUUUGGUAUAGGAAAGCCGGCCAUUUCGGCCCGGAAACGUUAAAAACGUUGGUCCAACGGGCUAAAGGUAUAAAAAUUAAAGGACCAAUAUUUUUGGAAUAUAAUAUAUGCGCCCAAACGCACGGGAAAAUAAUGGUAUUAAAACGUUUAAAAAAAAACCGUACCGGCUAUAUUAUAUAAUUCACUUUAAUUUUUUUUAUUUUGAAAAAUUAGGGACGGGUUAUAAAUACCUAUUGCUUUUAAAGAAUAAAUGUAUAGGGCGUUUAAUAACCGUUCCGUUUACCGGAAAAACCAAUAAAAAAUUCGUUACCACCAUUUUCGGAUUCGAACAAUGGUUAAUAAAAUAAUACGGUUUGCAAAUAAUUAAAUUUUUUUAUAAUAAUAAACCAACCCUAAUAGCGCAUUUAAAUUAUAUAUAUUAUUAAAAAUAUUGCAGUAAUUUUGGAAUAAAAAUAAAAACUCCCCCCGCAAAUAUAUACGUACCCAACGGUUAAAUAAAACGUUUAAAACAAAACGUAAUCGUACGCGUUUUUAAAAUACGUUUGGCAACCAAUUUACCCAUUAAUUUGUAACCCGACGUAAUUAUGGCCGCGGUUUAUUUAAUUAAUAUAAAUCUUUCGAUAAAUAAAAAAAGGGUUAAUCCCAAUAAAAUUUUACUGGUAUAAUUCCAGCGAUUUUUCAAAGAUUAUACCCCAAUUUUGCAUAUUAAAUUAAGGAAAAACCUGCGCCCAAAUUGGUUAGGAAUUUAUGCGUACAAUUGCAAAAUAUAUAUAUUAAAUCCGGCCAGGGCAAAAACCCAAAACAGGGUAAUAUUUAAAACGAAUUUUAAAUUUUAUAUCGGAUAUUUGGUAAAUUACAAAAUUAUUAAAAUAUAUUAUAUAUUGUUAAAAGUUUGGGUGUUAACAGGGGAUAUAGGGGUAACCCCUAGGUGCGGCGUGGUAAAUAACCAAUGCUAAAAACGCAAAAUGGUAGGUGGGAAUAUAUUAUAAUUUUGGUAUCGAAAACAAUUAAAUUGGUUGGGGAAAUUUUACUUUAUUUCCUUAUAUAUUUUCCGAUAUCGAAAUGGGGGUCGGCACGCCAAAAAAAUUUCCGGUGCCGCAAAUAAAUUUCCGAAAAAUUAAUUUGUAUGGAUUUUUGAAAAAACACCCUCAUUUGUUAACAAACCAUUUUUGGGUUCGCACGCAAUUGGAAUUUUGGUGAAUUUCAACCCAAUACAGGAUAAUUGAUUCGCAGGUGCAGGGUGGGUAUUAAAUCCGGUAUAGGGUAAAUAAUCCCAUUCGCUAACCUUUAAAUUGCAUUUCUGCAUUAACAAAAUAACGGAAUUUCACCAUUCCACCACCCCAUUCCGGCAUUAUAUAAAAUAAAUUAUAUAUAAAUAAAAAUGGGUUUAUUAUAUGCAAAAUAAUACAUAUAAUUAAUACCCCCUUUCUUUUGCUAUUUAAUCUAAAAAUAAAGUCGGAAAAGAAAAAUACGUAAAAUAAAACCCCCCAAAAAAAAAAAACAAAAAAAAUUCCCCUUUAUGUCCCAACCCAAUUCGAACCCCCAAUACGAACCCCCUGGAUAAAUAAGCCUUUUGUACCGAAUCCCCGAUUGACUGAACCCCAGAUUGGACGAACCCCCGAAUUGAAAAAGACCCCCAGAAUUGUAAUAACCCCCGGAUUUAAACCCACGAUUUACAAAUUAUAACCAACGGAAUUUAUUAUUAAACCAAAUAAUUAAUUUGGCUAUUCGUUAUUAUGGGUUCCAGAAAAAUUUAAUAUAUAGGGUAAAUUAAAAUUACUAAAUCGCCCAAAACGCGAAUUAAUUAAAUUCGGAUUCGAUUUUGGAUAUAAGGUCGGUAUAAAUUGUUUAAUAAUUAACCUGAACAGGGUAGGUUUGGGUAGCCCGGUUGGUAUUGGGCUAAUAAAAAUCCAAUAAUCGCAAACAAAAGAAAAAAAUUGUGGUAAUUAAUUAACGAAUUAAUUAGGUGCCCUACAAUUUAAUAGGUAAAAAUUAAAUUUAUAGGGGUUUUAACCCUAUAAAUUUUAAAAAAAUAUUGUGAAUUGGAAGCGUUAGGGGUUUUGUAAAGCCGUUAGCGGGUAUUUGUUUGGAUUCCAGGUAUUUUAGGGUUACCAAUCCUUUUAUAAUUAAUUCCUUUACGUAAUAAAAUUUUAAUAACGUGUGUUUAAUACGUUGGUGGUGCGUAAGGUUAUAUACGUUAAUUAUAAAGCCUGUAUUAUUUGCAAAUAUUGCAAUAGGGCCUUUUACAGGUAGUCCAAUUUUUGUAAAUAGGUUUUUAAACCACUGUGUUUUACGCAGGAUUUCCGUUAAGGCGUCGGUUUCGGCUUUUGGGGUGCUUAAAAUUAUAAUAUUAGCCUUUUUGCAUUUCCACGUUAUAGGGCCCUUAAAUAGGGUAUAUAAAUAUCCGUAAAUGGAUUUUAAAUUUUCCCUAGCCCCGGCAAAAUCGCUGUUACUAAAACCAAAUAAUUUUAGGCCUUUAAAACCCCCAAUUAAAAAAUUAGGUGGUAAAUUAACUUUAAUUACCCUAUUUCCGUAGCAAAUUGCUAGGGAUUUAAUACCUGCUAAAUAACGAAAUAGGUUUUUAACUGCCGUUAAAUGGAUUGUAAUGGUUUUUGUUAAAAAACGAAAUAAUUAUUAAACCGCAAAACCGAUAUCCGGGCGUGUUAAUAAUAUUAAAUAUAUUAGGGUACCGAUAAUACGUUGUAACAAUUUAAUUUUUAGCGCAUUUACGGGUUUGCCCCCGUUAUAUUUUAACAUACCCGGCUAUAAAAAAAUAAAAAUAGGUUUGCAAUUAAUUAAUCCGAACGUUGCUAAUAUUUCCUUUAUAUAUUAAUUUUGAUGGAGCCAAAACAGGCGGUUAGGCCUGUCCUUUAUAAUUUAAACGUUUAAAAAAUAGGUUGCAGGGCCCCUGUUUUCCAAUGCGUAUAUUUUGUUAAAACGGGCUUUUAAAUCCUAAAUAUAUUGCAAUUUAAAACCUAUUAGCAGGCAAUCGUUAAUAAAAGUAACAAUAAAAUAUUUGGAUUUAGCAUUAUAAAAAACAGCGGGAUUAGAAAUUAGCGGUUUAAAACCUUUUGUAAAAAGUAGGUUUUUUAAUUUUAUUUACCAUUUUUUUGGGCCCUGUUUCAAACCGUAUAACGUUUUUUCCAACUGUAUAAUUUGCAUUUCCUUUGGAUUAUAGCCCAUUUGUAUUAAAAUUUUAGCGGUGGUAGGGUUGCAAAAUUUAACCCAAUCGCUAAAACCCUUUGGAAUUUGCAAAUAAAUAUUUACGUCGGUAAAAUUAUUAUUUAAAAACGCACCGAUAAAAUCGAUUUGUUUUAUUUCCCAAUUUUGUGCAUUAAUUAUAGCCAAUAAUAUACGCCAGGUAAGCGGUAUAUUAGUGCUAGCAAAAAUCUCGAUAUAAUUUAAAUUUUCGACCUGUAAAAACCCCCUAAUAAUAAACCUGGUUUUAUAUUUUAUAAAUUUAUUAUUUUUAUCCUUUUUUAAUUUAAAUACCGGCCGGGUAAAAAUUAAUUUACGGUUUGUAGGUAUUUUAAUUUUAGGGAUAAAACGGAAAGUUUUUGCAAUAAUAAUCUGGUCGAAUUUAAACGUUAAAACUGCUAACCAUUUAGCAUUUUCAGGGUUUUUUAGGGCCUGUUGGUAAUUAUUUGGUUCGCCGUUUUUAAUGGGUUUUUUUUUGUUUUUUUUGGGUUUGGUAACAAAAAUAAUGCACGUAAUUAAUAUCCAUAGGAUCUGGGUUUUUAAACUGCGAAUUUAAUUCCAUAUUUUAUAUUUUAAAUACCGAAAACACCGGAAUUUUCGUUAUUUUAAAUGUUAAAUUAGGCACCGCUACCGUUAUAAAUUUUGGGGGGCGAAUAAUAGGUUGUACAGGCCAGGGAAAUAUUAUAAUUGCGGAAGGUAGGGGAUUAUUAUCCAUUGGAUCCAAAAUUUUGGCGCUGUAGAUUUCGUUUUUAAAUUUAAAAUUAAAAUCCCCUUUUAAAUUUGGAUUUUCCCCUCUUAAAAUUUGUAACGUUUCCCCUGGAAUAACCAAAUUUUCAACGGGUAUACUUUUUAAAAUUUUUACGGUAAAGGUUUUAUAUACGGCCUGUUUGGCGGGGGCGUAAACCAACGUUGUAAAAUUGGAUAAAUGGGCUAAAAAUUUUAUUAUUUCCGUUCGGAAAACCAAUUUGUUGGAUUUUUGGCGUUUUUCCAGCGGUAUAAUAAUUUGGUAUACGGUACCAAUUACCCGAUAAUGGCCUAAAUUAGGUUUAUGUGGUAAUCCAGGUUGAAAUUCGGAAUAAAAUUCCUCGUAGGGUAUUAAUUCCCUGUUAAUUACCGCUGUACGGUUAACCAAAUUAACCAUAACCGGUAAUAAAUAAUAUUAUAAAUAUAAUGGUAAACCUGCCGUUAAAAUGGUAAAUUUUAAUUUAUCCAAAAUAACCUUAACGGACCGUUCCGUUAACCCGUUUUGGCCGUGGUUAUAAAGGUUGGAAAUGCUAAAAUUAACAUUUUUAUUUGCAAACCAAUUUUGAAAUUUUAUAUUUAUUUCGUGCCCCCCAUCGAAAUAAAAUUUAGUGGGGUAACGCCCGUACGUAGUUUUUAAAAUUUUAAAAAAGUUUUUAAUAGCCAUUAAAACCGUAGGUCCGGUUUUAUUCCGUAAUAAAAUCGACCACCGAAAACGUAAUUUUCGAUCCAUUAACAACAAAAAUACGGGCUUUUUAUUGUGAGGGUUAGGUUUAAGGGUUAUUAUAUUACUUUUUAUGGAAUUAAAAAUAUUAGGGGGUGUAAGGAAUACCCUUUUAUUUGUACGUUUAAUAAAAAUAGUUUUAAUGCAAAUAAUGCAGGUAAUAGCCCUAAUUUUGUCGAAAUUAGGUAAACCGUCUGCGUUUUUAGCGGUUUUUUUAAAUAAUAAUAACCCUAUAUACCCUAAACGCCUAUAUUAUAACAGGGUUGUUUAGGCCUGGAUUUCGUUACAAUCGCCUGUAAUUCCGUUUUUUUUAAUUGUUACCCAAUUAUCGGUAAUUCGAUUUAGGUUUAAAAGGAAAUAAUUUACAGGGGCCUGCACUAAUUUCGGUAUUAAAAAAGGUUUUAACAACGGAUUUUUUGUGUGGGAAACCCCCUUUUUUUCGAUAUUAGCCCCUUUUAUAUUUGGUUGCAUAAAAGGGUUAUUUAGCGGUUUACCGGGCCUACGGGACCCAAUUUCACGUGGAUUUUCAGGGGUUUUUGCAUUAAAUUUUUGCAUUACAGGUAAAUUUACGGUUAUAUUUUUAUUUUGUUCGGAAUUUAACAUUUCCGUUACCGUAUUUUUUUCCGGUUCCGAAUCGGUGUAAAUUUUAUAAUCGUUUUGGUUUUUAGGGAUUAUAUUAUUUAAUUUUAUUUUUAACGGGGCUGCGUAAUUUUUUGUAACCCCCUGUAAAAUUAGGUUAAAGGCGGUGUUAUAUUUACCAAUUAUAUAGGCGUAAUUCGAAACCGUAGGUGUAGUAUUUCGAAUAAAAAUAUUGCACCCUUUUACCUCCAAACAGAACGAAUUUUUGGCGGUAUUUAGGCGUUCCCACGCCUUGCGAUCCCGAUCGUACAAGGUAUUUUUUAAUAAUACGCCCCCUAUAUUGUAAUAUAUUAGCCCAUUAACGAUAUUUAUUCCAAACGAAGGGAUAUAUAGCACGUUAUUUAACGUAAUUUUUCUAAAUUCGUCAAUUUUGGGGCUAUACCGGACCUAUAUUUUAACAAUUCCAGUGCCAAUAGGCCUAACAGGGCCAUUUCCGGUACCGAUUUCAAUUAUUGAGCCGGGGGUAUAAUCGGUAAAAAAUUGUUUAUUUGUAAAAAUAUAGUGCGUACUAUUUGUAUUGUACAGGACCGGGUAGCCUAACCGCCGGGGUUUAGGGUUCUUAUUUACGCCGUUUCCAAACUUCGUUUUAAUUUUAAAAUUAAUUGCUAAUACCUGUGGUUUUAACGUUUUACCGGUAUAAUCGGGUUCCGAAUCCGAUUUCGAAUAUAAUUUUAUAACCCCGUUAAUAGCGGAAUUAACCUUUUGUUGCAAUACCCGGUACGGUAAAUUA